CAAAAUCCCAUCGGGCCGGACUGGCACCCGAAGCCGAGAAGGCCCGGGAGAACCCGUUCAAAUACCUGUACUUUCACUUACAUGUCACCAAAAAAAUUGGACAGCACUUCGUUGCAUAUAGAAAGGUCUAAUUACCUGUAUCAGCACAACACGCGCAAAUAUAUAUAUAUAUAUAUAAUACUUGGCCGUCGGGGCCACCACAUAUACAGAUAUAACAUCACUAUAUAAACUUCCAUGACUUUACCCUUCCUUAUGUCUACAAAGCCUCUAGGAUAUACAUGACAUAACUAGGGUCGGGAC
This 300-nucleotide long non-coding RNA is filed under the name Capsicum annuum. RNAcentral's name for it is "long non-coding RNA (CANN_LNC019566)". Lineage: Eukaryota; Viridiplantae; Streptophyta; Magnoliopsida; Solanales; Solanaceae. The record is from RNAcentral.